CUAAGUGGUGUAACGGCAACACGUCGAUCUGCAAAAUCGACAUUACUUGUUCAAUUCAAGUCUUAG
Molecule: transfer RNA, 66 nt
Filed under: Genlisea aurea
Lineage: Eukaryota; Viridiplantae; Streptophyta; Magnoliopsida; Lamiales; Lentibulariaceae
Rfam family: tRNA
About the family: Transfer RNA (tRNA) molecules are approximately 80 nucleotides in length. Their secondary structure includes four short double-helical elements and three loops (D, anti-codon, and T loops).
Source: Rfam by way of RNAcentral